Molecule: ribosomal RNA, 2902 nt
Filed under: Escherichia coli UMEA 3152-1
Lineage: Bacteria; Pseudomonadati; Pseudomonadota; Gammaproteobacteria; Enterobacterales; Enterobacteriaceae
Description: bacterial LSU rRNA
Rfam family: Bacterial large subunit ribosomal RNA
Source: RNAcentral
UUAAGCGACUAAGCGUACACGGUGGAUGCCCUGGCAGUCAGAGGCGAUGAAGGACGUGCUAAUCUGCGAUAAGCGUCGGUGAGGUGAUAUGAACCGUUAUAACCGGCGAUUUCCGAAUGGGGAAACCCAGUGUGUUUCGACACACUAUCAUUAACUGAAUCCAUAAGUUAAUGAGGCGAACCGGGGGAACUGAAACAUCUAAGUACCCCGAGGAAAAGAAAUCAACCGAGAUUCCCCCAGUAGCGGCGAGCGAACGGGGAGGAGCCCAGAGCCUGAAUCAGUGUGUGUGUUAGUGGAAGCGUCUGGAAAGGCGCGCGAUACAGGGUGACAGCCCCGUACACAAAAAUGCACAUGCUGUGAGCUCGAUGAGUAGGGCGGGACACGUGGUAUCCUGUCUGAAUAUGGGGGGACCAUCCUCCAAGGCUAAAUACUCCUGACUGACCGAUAGUGAACCAGUACCGUGAGGGAAAGGCGAAAAGAACCCCGGCGAGGGGAGUGAAAAAGAACCUGAAACCGUGUACGUACAAGCAGUGGGAGCCUCUUAAUGGGGUGACUGCGUACCUUUUGUAUAAUGGGUCAGCGACUUAUAUUCUGUAGCAAGGUUAACCGAAUAGGGGAGCCGAAGGGAAACCGAGUCUUAACUGGGCGUUAAGUUGCAGGGUAUAGACCCGAAACCCGGUGAUCUAGCCAUGGGCAGGUUGAAGGUUGGGUAACACUAACUGGAGGACCGAACCGACUAAUGUUGAAAAAUUAGCGGAUGACUUGUGGCUGGGGGUGAAAGGCCAAUCAAACCGGGAGAUAGCUGGUUCUCCCCGAAAGCUAUUUAGGUAGCGCCUCGUGAAUUCAUCUCCGGGGGUAGAGCACUGUUUCGGCAAGGGGGUCAUCCCGACUUACCAACCCGAUGCAAACUGCGAAUACCGGAGAAUGUUAUCACGGGAGACACACGGCGGGUGCUAACGUCCGUCGUGAAGAGGGAAACAACCCAGACCGCCAGCUAAGGUCCCAAAGUCAUGGUUAAGUGGGAAACGAUGUGGGAAGGCCCAGACAGCCAGGAUGUUGGCUUAGAAGCAGCCAUCAUUUAAAGAAAGCGUAAUAGCUCACUGGUCGAGUCGGCCUGCGCGGAAGAUGUAACGGGGCUAAACCAUGCACCGAAGCUGCGGCAGCGACACUAUGUGUUGUUGGGUAGGGGAGCGUUCUGUAAGCCUGUGAAGGUGGCCUGUGAGGGUUGCUGGAGGUAUCAGAAGUGCGAAUGCUGACAUAAGUAACGAUAAAGCGGGUGAAAAGCCCGCUCGCCGGAAGACCAAGGGUUCCUGUCCAACGUUAAUCGGGGCAGGGUGAGUCGACCCCUAAGGCGAGGCCGAAAGGCGUAGUCGAUGGGAAACAGGUUAAUAUUCCUGUACUUGGUGUUACUGCGAAGGGGGGACGGAGAAGGCUAUGUUGGCCGGGCGACGGUUGUCCCGGUUUAAGCGUGUAGGCUGGUUUUCCAGGCAAAUCCGGAAAACCAAGGCUGAGGCGUGAUGACGAGGCACUACGGUGCUGAAGCGACAAAUGCCCUGCUUCCAGGAAAAGCCUCUAAGCAUCAGGUAACAUCAAAUCGUACCCCAAACCGACACAGGUGGUCAGGUAGAGAAUACCAAGGCGCUUGAGAGAACUCGGGUGAAGGAACUAGGCAAAAUGGUGCCGUAACUUCGGGAGAAGGCACGCUGAUAUGUAGGUGAAGCGACUUGCUCGUGGAGCUGAAAUCAGUCGAAGAUACCAGCUGGCUGCAACUGUUUAUUAAAAACACAGCACUGUGCAAACACGAAAGUGGACGUAUACGGUGUGACGCCUGCCCGGUGCCGGAAGGUUAAUUGAUGGGGUUAGCGGUAACGCGAAGCUCUUGAUCGAAGCCCCGGUAAACGGCGGCCGUAACUAUAACGGUCCUAAGGUAGCGAAAUUCCUUGUCGGGUAAGUUCCGACCUGCACGAAUGGCGUAAUGAUGGCCAGGCUGUCUCCACCCGAGACUCAGUGAAAUUGAACUCGCUGUGAAGAUGCAGUGUACCCGCGGCAAGACGGAAAGACCCCGUGAACCUUUACUAUAGCUUGACACUGAACAUUGAGCCUUGAUGUGUAGGAUAGGUGGGAGGCUUUGAAGUGUGGACGCCAGUCUGCAUGGAGCCGACCUUGAAAUACCACCCUUUAAUGUUUGAUGUUCUAACGUGGGCCCCUUACCGGGGUUGCGGACAGUGUCUGGUGGGUAGUUUGACUGGGGCGGUCUCCUCCUAAAGAGUAACGGAGGAGCACGAAGGUUGGCUAAUCCUGGUCGGACAUCAGGAGGUUAGUGCAAUGGCAUAAGCCAGCUUGACUGCGAGCGUGACGGCGCGAGCAGGUGCGAAAGCAGGUCAUAGUGAUCCGGUGGUUCUGAAUGGAAGGGCCAUCGCUCAACGGAUAAAAGGUACUCCGGGGAUAACAGGCUGAUACCGCCCAAGAGUUCAUAUCGACGGCGGUGUUUGGCACCUCGAUGUCGGCUCAUCACAUCCUGGGGCUGAAGUAGGUCCCAAGGGUAUGGCUGUUCGCCAUUUAAAGUGGUACGCGAGCUGGGUUUAGAACGUCGUGAGACAGUUCGGUCCCUAUCUGCCGUGGGCGCUGGAGAACUGAGGGGGGCUGCUCCUAGUACGAGAGGACCGGAGUGGACGCAUCACUGGUGUUCGGGUUGUCAUGCCAAUGGCACUGCCCGGUAGCUAAAUGCGGAAGAGAUAAGUGCUGAAAGCAUCUAAGCACGAAACUUGCCCCGAGAUGAGUUCUCCCUGACUCCUUGAGGGUCCUGAAGGAACGUUGAAGACGACGACGUUGAUAGGCCGGGUGUGUAAGCGCAGCGAUGCGUUGAGCUAACCGGUACUAAUGAACCGUGAGGCUUAACCUU